UGACUGACUGAUCUAUCGACGCAAAGUUCAUUCUUCUCAACGGAUCAGGCUGAGGCCAUAGCUAUUAGGACGUAGGAAAUCUGCUAAGAAAGGAUUUUUGAAAAUUCAACCUCUAAGGGCGUAAAAUAAGGGGUUGAAAUUUGUGUAGUCCACGCGGAUGAUGUCGCGAGCAUAAGCUAGUACAAUAUCAUUUUCUAGU
Long non-coding RNA from Maniola jurtina (meadow brown), 199 nucleotides. RefSeq lists it as uncharacterized. NCBI's taxonomy places the organism in Eukaryota, Metazoa, Arthropoda, Insecta, Lepidoptera, Nymphalidae. The transcript is spliced from 3 exons. The record is from RefSeq and is a predicted model, not a curated record.